This is an RNA transcript of Astyanax mexicanus (Mexican tetra), 1373 nucleotides long. RefSeq lists it as uncharacterized. The record is from RefSeq and is a predicted model, not a curated record. The transcript has 10 exons. NCBI's taxonomy places the organism in Eukaryota, Metazoa, Chordata, Actinopteri, Characiformes, Acestrorhamphidae.
UUAUUCGAACUCUUCGGAGAUCGUGAGCAGCGGCAGCAGCGUUUCUUUCGACGGAUCGUCUACAACUUCUCAACACCAGUUUACUGUUUAAUAUUUACUGUUUUAUUAUCUGUAUUAUCUUUUAAUUACUGUAUAUAAUUGUAUAUAAUUGGAUUAUCUGUACUGUUUUGUCAUUAAUUAAUUGUAUUUGGUUUUUUGUUUUUCAGGUGACUGUAGCCGCUGAGGGAGCUCACCCCCAUACCGGUCAGGUAUGGAUCCCCGGUGGAGGAGCAGACCUCUUCCAAUAGUGGCGCAGUCAGGAAACUUUUGCUUCCGGACUCGUCGUGUGUCUCCGUGGCAGGGUGAAGAUCCAGCCGCCUGUGAGGAGCCCCAGCCGUGUCAGCCCGGGUUCCUCGAGAUGAAGCCAAGGGCCUACAUUAAGAAGUGCACAGAAGGUCAGCUGGAGGGACUCCUUCCCACCUCCCACCCAGAGUCUCCAUUGCCUUCAACAACACCUGAAAGGGAUGACUGUAAGGCUCUGGUGGUGGUUGCGGAGGCAGAACCCUUGAACACGCUGAACACUGCUGGUCCAGUUGCACAGUGUGAGGAAGCCCGGAUCACGUCCCUCACCACCACCCACCACCCGGAGACAUUCAGCCAGUCAGGGAUCGAUGUCCUGGUGGUGGUUGCAGAGGCGGGUCCCUCUUACAGGCUGGACACCAACAGCACCGAGCCUGAGUCUGAGCCAGUGCCAGUUGCACAGGCUGAGGAGGAUCUGGAGAGCAGCAUGGAGGUCGUGGUGGAGAGCAUAGAAACAGCUCCCAAAAACAAGAGACGACGGCUACAGCGCUGUCUGAGACUCUGGAGGAGCACAGCCUCUACCUUCCUCUCCUGCUUUCCUUGUAGGGUUAAGAGAUCUAACAAAAAUAGAGAGGAUAAAUAGAGGAUAAAACGACGGUGGAUAGAUACAUAGAAAGGGGGAUGAUAUAUAGGUAGAUAGAUAGAAAAGGGGAUGAUAUAUAGGUAGAUACAUAGAAAAGGGGAUGAUAUAUAGGUAGAUAGAUAGAAAAGGGGGUGAUAUAUAGGUAGAUAGAUAGAAAGGGGGAUGAUAUAUAGGUAGAUAGAAAAGGGGAUGAUAUAGGUAGAUAGAUAGAAAAGGGGAUGAUAUAUAGGUAGAUAAAUAGAAAGGGGAUGAUAUAUAGGUAGAUAGAUAGCAAAGGGGGUGAUAUAUAGGAAAAUAGAUAGAAAAGGGGAUGAUAUAUAGGUAGAUAGAAAGGGGUAGGAUAGAUAGAUAAGUAGAUAGAUAGAUAGAUAUCUAUCUAUAUUCAAUUCAAUAUAGCUUAUUUAGCAUGGCUGUAAAUUACAGUGAUAUAUGAUAUAUGAACAUACAUAAC